Molecule: long non-coding RNA, 301 nt
Filed under: Eucalyptus grandis
Lineage: Eukaryota; Viridiplantae; Streptophyta; Magnoliopsida; Myrtales; Myrtaceae
Description: long non-coding RNA (EGRA_LNC002784)
Source: RNAcentral
UUGACUUCUUUCAUGUUUGUGGUGCAGUUGACGAGACCUACUGGAAGAUGUUAAUAUGCUCCGCAGCUCGCUGGAAGGUGGAUGAGCUUUGCUGAUAUUUUUUAGGAUUACUUUGUUGAACUGUGUGCUGAUGCUCAUGACUAGUGGAUUUAAGCGUGCGACUCUGUUGACGAAAUAUGUGGUUUACUGACUCAGUGUAGUGACAAUAUUGAUGCUAUGACAUGCCUUACUGUUCUGCAUUUCUUUACUUAAGCUUCUGUUGUUACCAGCCUUGACUAGGAACAGAUUCACUAAAAACCUG